AUCCAUAUCCGAAACGGGGCCAGAUUCAGAGCGACGACACUUCGCUGAAUGCAGCAGCAUAUGGUGUCGCCCUCAGAGUUGGGCACACAUCCAGAUCCAACACUUACUUGUCCCAUGGUAAGCACAAAUGCACACUAUCAUCACACAGACACCUCGAGUAAUUCUUAACCUUCUCAGCAGAUGGUAAUCCAACAUGAGAAUGAGAUGCAGGGCCAUCAAGUCGAAGUCCAUCACUAGUACCUUGUCAGCGGUACCAGCCAUUGGUGGGCCAGGCCUUCCACGCAUUCCUAUCCACCUCAGCUCCCUGACAGUCGUUUUAUAAACCCCACUCCCCUGCAGAAGAACACACGGAAACCAGUGAGCCACCCACCAAUAGUUUCCUUCCAUCCAUGGCAUGCAUCAACACCUUCCAGAGUUGCUCCAUUGCCAGAGGGGCAAAGUUCAACACAAGAGCUAGGGGCAGUGCUGGAAAGGGAUCACCAACCUUUCAGUGCAGGGCGUCGACUUUCGUUGACGCCAGCCUCCGGCUUGAGCUCGACGAGAACCCUGAGGCGAUCAUCUCAGGCGAGUGGCCUGAGAACUUC
This 584-nucleotide long non-coding RNA is filed under the name Panicum hallii. Its description in RNAcentral is "long non-coding RNA (PHAL_LNC000100)". The record is from RNAcentral. Lineage: Eukaryota; Viridiplantae; Streptophyta; Magnoliopsida; Poales; Poaceae.